UAGGAAUUGAAAAUAGAAUAAAAAUAGAAAAUAAAUAGAACAUUUAAUCUAACUGUAUAUCACAAAUCAACAUAUGUGCCAUUAAUGAUUCCAUCUUUGUCUGAAAAUAUUUUUUAAUACAAAAUGGCUGCAAUAAAAGCAUUCCUCUGCCAUAUAAAGACACAGUGUACAAUACAAGAAGAAAAAACUAAGGAAUUAAAUCUAAUUAUUGAAAUUGCAACCAAAAAUGGAUAUAUGUCAUCCCUAGUAAUGAAAAUAUAUAGAAACUUAGAAACCUUGAACAAUAGGUGCACCCACACUCAUACAAUUCAGGUAAGUCAGUCUUAACUAAGAACAAUGCCAAUUUAUAGUAAACCAAUAGAAUAUGAUCUAUCACCAUGUCACAUAACGUCAGAACUUAAAAAAAGGCUAAAUAUAGAACUUUAAUAUACAUGACAAAAACAAUGUAUAAUAGGCUAUGGAAUGAUAAAUCUAAACAGCACUGUCAUAUGAGGCGUUGUGGAUAUGAAGGGCAAACUCAACAAAUGCUGAUUUUGAGAAAAAUGCGUUUCAAGUUUUAAGUGAAGGGCGAACUCAACAUAAAAGUUUAAGC
RNAcentral lists this long non-coding RNA (592 nucleotides) under Androctonus crassicauda. Lineage: Eukaryota; Metazoa; Arthropoda; Arachnida; Scorpiones; Buthidae. The record is from RNAcentral.